UAUUUUGCCUAAUUUUAUAUUAGGGUUAAGGUGCAAAUCCACCCCUAAUGUAGAGGUCCCUAUAGCGUUUAGCCCCCCAUUUUCGACCUUGGCGCAAACACCCCCCCAUAGUCCAAGAAAAGGGUGCAAUUAAACCUAAACCUCUAACACCGUUAACGUCCGUUAAACGUUUGGGUUUAAUUGCACCAUCUACUUCAGGGGUGGAUCUGCACUUUAACUUUUUUUUUUUUAAUUUUCGGCAAUCCACCUCCGGCAUCAGCUUAGCGCUCUUGUACUCAUCGGAUCCGACUUGCACCUUGUCAGCUCACACGCGCCCAAUCUCUUGGUUGUCGACUGUCUACCGCCCACAUGCAGCAGUGCCACCAGCUUCUUCAC
RNAcentral lists this long non-coding RNA (375 nucleotides) under Salvia miltiorrhiza (redroot sage). RNAcentral's name for it is "long non-coding RNA (SMIL_LNC013998)". The record is from RNAcentral. Lineage: Eukaryota; Viridiplantae; Streptophyta; Magnoliopsida; Lamiales; Lamiaceae.